AGAGCGUCUCAUGGGAAAAGAAGAGAGCGGCAAAGAUUUCUACUGCAACCCUCCUGGCAAAUUAUCCUUUAUUUGCAAAUAUGACAGACAGGAUGGCAAUUUUGGAAAAGGGGAUAUAAGCAAAACAUGCUAAGGAGCUAGGAGGAAAAAAAAAAAAUCAUGUUAAUUGUGUGUGGGAAAAUUUAUUUGGGAAUUAUAUGAAGAUGAAUAUGUCUAACAAACUUAUUCUAUUACUUCUGUGGUCACUCACACAUAAAUUGCACAACUUAACAAAGCUGCUGGGUUUUCGCAUUCACUCAAGCAAUGUGAAAGCAGCGCAGAACUGUAUGAGUUGGCAGUCAGGGCUGUGAAAAGCGGUGUUAGUUAUUUAGCAAGAUCAUGCACAUGAGUAAUAGAUAUUCUUCCUUAUGGAGAAAAUGUGAAACACAUUAAUCGUUUCCCUUUUCACCGCAGACUGUUUCAGUGCCUGUUUCUUAAAGCCUACUCAAAAAGAGGAAACGGCAACAAUUUGCAAGAGAAAAGGCUGGCUGUAAGACAGGACCCCUUAAAGAAGAAAACAGGGACCCACGCUGGCCUGAAAGGAUCACCUCCAGCAUGCAUACAAGGCUUCUAGAUCACUGGAGGCAAAGUUUAAUACUGAUAGCAGCAAGUCAAGAGGUGUAUGCGUUAGUUUCCAGGAGUGCAACACAAGCUGAAACAGCCACUCUCUCGGACAUACUCCCUGAAAAAUCAUAUGUCCGAGAUCAUCAGCCAAAGCACACAAGUUACUCUUCCUUCAGUACAGAUUUUCAGGAACACCAAAAAGCACAGCUUUUCACAGACUAAAAAGAAGAGAAAAUAGAUGAAAGGAACAUUAGUGUUCCUGAAGCAGGAGUUGACACGCUUCUCCAGACUCAUCUGCCAGAUUUAAGGAUAACAUUUGGUGUUUACUGAAGUUCAGGUUUGCCCUUUUGGAGCACAGAUCUGUAAUUAUCGUGGAAUCAGAACUGAAAAGAUGAAUCAAGGCAACAUUUAAAAAAAGAUCUUGUAAUAUUAAUCCUUGCUGAUAAAGCUCCAGCAACAAGCCCUUCCCAUGGGGCAAAGGUCCCCACGGCAGUUUACAAGCACCAGCUGUUACUUUCAGAAAAGAGAUUUCUAAGUUUUUGAAGGCAGCGCUGGGGAGUUUGAACACACCUGGGUCCCCACCCUGCAGAGAGAGAAACGGCCUGAAGAGGAAGACUUUGUCCAAGUUAAUAAAUAAGAUACUGUUCCCUGCUCAUCCAUGGUCCAUGCAUCAGUUUGCUUUUAGAUUCUGAAAAAGACCAGCUCAUUCCCUCUGAGACAAAAGGGUGUUAACGGAUGGGCUCCCUCCUUGUGUCUCCCUUCCUUUAGCUACAGAGUGAACUCUGAGGUUUAUGUUCCUGCCCUAUGGCAAAUAUGACCUUCGCAUUAGCAGUUCUAUCAAGCUGUUCACGGUUUCUGCGUGCCCCAUCAGCCCGCUUUCCAUAUGUGCCAUUAUGAGUCCUGGCACAAACACAAGAGAAGAUCUCAGCUUCCCCCCAGGGCAGCCACUGCUGCUGUAAGGCAAAGCCUCACACAUAACCAGGAAAGGUGCCUGCAGCCACCAACGUGCAUAAAUGGGGGAGCUUAAACAUCUACAGCCACGUCCUAGUUCCUAGCCUUUCCUCAAUGAAUCCAGGCGUUUAGGAAAUGAGCAGAAGUUAGUGCAUCUUCCACCUUCCUACAUUUUUUCUUUUCUCAAAAGAGCUGUUCUUUUGGCUUUCACGGGGAUCCUCUAACUGCUGGGAAGCAGAGGAAAGCAAAACCACUGCACUGCACUCCAUUUUUUACCAGCUUAGAAGGCACCGCGUCCCAUAUUUCAACGUACCUUCCUGCUGAGACCAGCCCAGCAAUGCAGCUGCUCCCGCUUGGACCCUUCCCUGGGUACAGCAAGUUUUGAGGACUAGCACAUGCCAAAGCAUCCUCAACACUCCAACACAGCACCUUUCCUCCUCAUCUGCUGCAUCUCCCUGCAGCUGCUCACUUCUCUCCUUACCAGCCUUUCCCCUUCCCUGGGAGCUGAGGAAAGCUCAUUCCUGAGGACACUUUUGAGAUCUGCCCAUUCUCAGAUGGGAACGGGCUCCAGUUUCACCAGCAGAUUCAGGUGAUUGGGGAGGGGGGUGGUUUUGUGGUGUUUGUUUGGUUUGAAGUAUUGUUUGUUUGGGGUUUUUUGGUUUUGUUUUUGUUUUUUUUUACAAUCCGUAUUAUAUCUUACAUGGUGGUGGCAAGCUGCAGUUUGGCAUGCCAGUCAAAGGAGCAAUUCUGUGGUGAACUCUGCUGCCUCCGGCACCACGCAAAGGAAAACUUCAGGGCCUAUAAGGGCAGGGUACACAGACGAGGAUAAAAUCUGCCGCUUGCCUUCUCUCUGUUUUUUUGGGGUUUUUUUUGGUGUGGCAAGGAGGCAAAUCAAACUAUUGAAGUUCUUUUAAACUCUCAGCAAGCACAGCACAAGGUUACAACGGGAAAGUGACCUGGAGAGCGGCUGACCCCACACCUUUCCCUCUCCCCCGUGAACCUAGAUAGUGUCAUAGAGCCAUAAAGCUCUUUUCCUUGACCUGGCCAUUCUUUUUGGCAUACGCAAUGACAUUUCUGGACCCUGACCAUCACCGCGCGUGGUCCACAGCUGGUUACAGACAGCAGUCCCAGCUCCCCGCUGCUACAAGCGUCCCAGAAGAGCAAUGCCUCCUCCCAGUCCACAGUCCACUCUCUCACUCAUGAUGGUUUUCGUUUGCACUUUGUCCUUAUUUUCGUCCCAUGACUGACAGACCAAAAGGUCCAGGCAAGUUGAUCGCGUUUACAAGUUGUGUUUACAAACUGCGUGCUAAAGAAAGCAGCGUUUCUGGGAAGGAUUUAUGUCCUCGGCUUUCCCUCAGCACUGCAGGCUGAGCCCUCGACGUUCGAGAGGUGGACCAUGAGCUUAGGGAGACACCAUUUCAGGGUUUUAUCUAGAAGACAUCGCACAUCAAUGAGCAGCUUAAUCACAGUGCUGCAAAACCACCGCUGCCCCGCAGGUGACUCCGGGGAUGAUUUGGUUUGUUCUUACAGUCAAGAGUUCAGGACUUCUGUAUUAGAA
Long non-coding RNA from Chroicocephalus ridibundus (black-headed gull), 3112 nucleotides. RefSeq lists it as uncharacterized. NCBI's taxonomy places the organism in Eukaryota, Metazoa, Chordata, Aves, Charadriiformes, Laridae. The record is from RefSeq and is a predicted model, not a curated record. The transcript has 3 exons.